Molecule: ribosomal RNA, 253 nt
Filed under: uncultured bacterium
Lineage: Bacteria
Description: partial 16S ribosomal RNA
Rfam family: Bacterial small subunit ribosomal RNA
Source: RNAcentral
UACGAAGGGGGCUAGCGUUGUUCGGAAUCACUGGGCGUAAAGGGUGCGUAGGCGGGCUUUUAAGUCAGGGGUGAAAUCCUGGAGCUCAACUCCAGAACUGCCUUUGAUACUGAAGAUCUUGAGUCCGGGAGAGGUGAGUGGAACUGCGAGUGUAGAGGUGAAAUUCGUAGAUAUUCGCAAGAACACCAGUGGCGAAGGCGGCUCACUGGCCCGGUACUGACGCUGAGGCACGAAAGCGUGGGGAGCAAACAGG